GAGCUCCCUGGGCUUGCCUCCUCCUGCGUCCUGCUAGCUAUUUUUAAAUGUGACCAGUUUGAAAUUCAGCUAAACCAGCAGCUAUGGUCCCUCAUCCCCAACAACGAUGUGAGAAGGCUUGUUUCUCAUGUUAUCCGGACCUUGAAGACGGACUGCACUGAGACCCAUUUGCAACUGGCCUGUGCCAAGCUCAUCUCUAGGACAGGCCUCCUAAUGAAGCUUCUCAGUGAGCAGCAAGAAUUGAGAACUGUAUCAAUGACAGCAUGGAAGCCCAGAAUGAACAGAAAGAGCAGAAGUCGAAUGAGUCCAAUAGAUCCGCGGCAUAGUGGCACCCCCAACAGCAACAGAAUUGGGCUGUCAACGUGAAUGGAACAGACAAAAGUGUAGGACUUUGACAUGGACUGAGAUUCAAAUCUCAACCCUGCUACUGACUAGCUAUGUGAUCUUGUCUACGUUGUUUUACCUCUCAGACUUUCAGUUUCCUGAGGCUCCAAGGAAGAUGAUGGUCCUGAUAUGGAAGAAACUACUGAUGUCAGCUGAAGGACCACACUGAUGCAGCUGUCCUGAAGGACUCCCCGAGGAGCUACCUCAUCAAAAAAUACAGUUUCCACUUUGCGAUGAUUUUAUCCCCCUUGCCCCAACCGACCAGCAACCCCAAUUUUCCAGCCCCUCACUCUCCACAAUCCUCUUAAAGCCCCAGGCCAGAACUUCUUGGGAGACAGAUUUGAGGGUUUCCUUCCACUUCCUUGCUGGGUGGC
This 758-nucleotide long non-coding RNA is filed under the name Homo sapiens (human). RNAcentral describes it as "HSALNT0354437". The record is from RNAcentral. Lineage: Eukaryota; Metazoa; Chordata; Mammalia; Primates; Hominidae.